AUACAAGGGGGCUAGCGUUGUUCGGAAUUACUGGGCGUAAAGCGCAUGUAGGCGGACAUUUAAGUCAGGGGUGAAAUCCCGGGGCUCAACCUCGGAACUGCCUUUGAUACUGGGUGUCUAGAGUGUGGAAGAGGUAAGUGGAAUUUCUAGUGUAGCGGUUAAAAUGCGUAGAUAUUCGGAGGAACACCAGUGGCGAAGGCGGCUUACUGGUCCAUUACUGACGCUGAGGUGCGAAAGCGU
Molecule: ribosomal RNA, 240 nt
Filed under: uncultured bacterium
Lineage: Bacteria
Description: partial 16S ribosomal RNA
Rfam family: Bacterial small subunit ribosomal RNA
Source: RNAcentral